GUGAGGAAUUUUCCGCAAUGGGCGAAAGCCUGACGGAGCAAUGCCGCGUGAAGGAUGAAGGCCUAUGGGUUGUAAACUUCUUUUCUUAGAGAAGAAUAUUGACGGUAUCUGAGGAAUAAGCAUCGGCUAACUCUGUGCCAGCAGCCGCGGUAAGACAGAGGAUGCAAGCGUUAUCUGGAAUGAUUGGGCGUAAAGCGUCUGUAGGUGGCUUCAAAAGUCUCCUGUCAAAGAUCAGGGCUUAACCCUGGGCCGGCAGGAGAAACUCUGAGGCUAGAGUUUGGUAGGGGCAGAGGGAAUUCCCGUUGGAGCGGUGAAAUGCGUAGAGAUCGGGAGGAACACCAAAGGCGAAAGCACUCUGCUGGGCCACAACUGACACUGAGAGACGAAAGCGAGGGGAGCAAAAGGGAUUAGAAACCCUGGUAGUCC
This 426-nucleotide ribosomal RNA is filed under the name uncultured bacterium. RNAcentral's name for it is "partial 16S ribosomal RNA". It matches the Rfam family "Bacterial small subunit ribosomal RNA", at positions 354 to 796 of the family's 1533-position model. The record is from RNAcentral.